GACGUAGGGGGCAAGCGUUGUCCGGAAUCAUUGGGCGUAAAGCGCUCGUAGGUGGAUCGGUAAGUCUGCAAAGAAAGACCCGGGCUCAACUCGGGGAACGGUGUGGAUACUACCGAUCUUGAGGCAAUCAGAGGAUGAUGGAAUUCCCGGUGUAGCGGUGAAAUGCGUAGACAUCGGGAGGAACACCAGUGGCGAAGGCGAUCAUCUGGGGGUGUUCUGACACUGAGGAGCGAAAGCUAGGGGAGCAAACGGG
Molecule: ribosomal RNA, 253 nt
Filed under: uncultured bacterium
Lineage: Bacteria
Description: partial 16S ribosomal RNA
Rfam family: Bacterial small subunit ribosomal RNA
Source: RNAcentral